RNAcentral lists this ribosomal RNA (497 nucleotides) under uncultured bacterium. RNAcentral describes it as "partial 16S ribosomal RNA". It matches the Rfam family "Bacterial small subunit ribosomal RNA", at positions 28 to 507 of the family's 1533-position model. The record is from RNAcentral.
GACGAACGCUGGCGGCGUGCCUAAUACAUGCAAGUUGAGCGAUGAAGAUUGGUGCUUGCACCAAUUUGAAGAGCAGCGAACGGGUGAGUAACGCGUGGGGAAUCUGCCUUUGAGCGGGGGACAACAUUUGGAAACGAAUGCUAAUACUGCAUAACAACUUUAAACAUAAGAUUUAAGUUUGAAAGAUGCAAUUGCCUCACUCAAAGAUGAUCCCGCGUUGUAUUAGCUAGUUGGUGAGGUAAAGGCUCACCAAGGCGGUGAUACAUAGCCGACCUGAGAGGGUGAUCGGCCACAUUGGGACUGGGAAACGGCCCAAACUCCUACGGGAGGCAGCAGGAGGGAAUCUUCGGCAAUGGACGAAAGUCUGACCGAGCAACGCCGCGUGAGUGAAGAAGGUUUUCGGAUCGUAAAACUCUGUUGGUAGAGAAGAACGUUGGUGAGAGUGGAAAGCUCAUCAAGUGACGGUAACUACCCAGAAAGGGACGGCUAACUACGUG